RNAcentral lists this transfer RNA (69 nucleotides) under Carpodacus rubicilloides. RNAcentral describes it as "tRNA-Lys". It matches the Rfam family "tRNA". From Rfam's summary of the family: Transfer RNA (tRNA) molecules are approximately 80 nucleotides in length. Their secondary structure includes four short double-helical elements and three loops (D, anti-codon, and T loops). Lineage: Eukaryota; Metazoa; Chordata; Aves; Passeriformes; Fringillidae. The record is from RNAcentral.
CAUUAAGAAGCUAUGAAUCAGCGUUAGCCUUUUAAGCUAAAGACAGAGGACUGCACCCCUCCUUAAUGA